UCCGCAGGGGGCCUGCCAAGUCUGUCGUGAAAUCCCGGGGCUCAACCCCGGGUCUGCGGUGGAAACAGGCGGGCUAGAGUGUGUGAGGGGCAGACGGAACACCUGGUGUAGCGGUGGAAUGCGUGGAUAUCAGGUGGAACACCGAUGGCGAAGGCGGUCUGCUGGCACACAACUGACCCUCAGGGACGAAAGCGUGGGUAGCAAACA
Molecule: ribosomal RNA, 207 nt
Filed under: uncultured bacterium
Lineage: Bacteria
Description: partial 16S ribosomal RNA
Rfam family: Bacterial small subunit ribosomal RNA
Source: RNAcentral